GUUAGGAAUAUUGGACAAUGGACGCAAGUCUGAUCCAGCCAUGCCGCGUGAGUGAUGAAGGCCUUCGGGUUGUAAAGCUCUUUAGCCGAUGAUUAUAAUGACUGUAGUCGGAAAAUAAGCCCCGGCUAACUUCGUGCCAGCAGCCGCGGUAAUACGAAGGGGGCGAGCGUUAUUCGGAAUCACUGGGCGUAAAGCGUGCGUAGGCGGUUUUGUAAGUUGGGAGUGAAAGCCCAGGGCUCAACCCUGGAAUUGCUCUCAAAACUACAAGACUUGAAUUCGGGAGAGGAUAGCGGAAUUGUCAGUGUAGCAGUGAAAUGCGUAGAUAUUGACAGGAACACCAGUGGCGUAAGCGGCUAUCUGGACCGACAUUGACGCUGAGGCACGAAAGCGUGGGGAUCAAACAGGAUUAGAUACCCCUGUAGUCC
RNAcentral lists this ribosomal RNA (425 nucleotides) under uncultured bacterium. Its description in RNAcentral is "partial 16S ribosomal RNA". It matches the Rfam family "Bacterial small subunit ribosomal RNA", at positions 354 to 796 of the family's 1533-position model. The record is from RNAcentral.